CCCUUAGAUGCUCUGGGCCGCACGCGCGCUACACUGGUCGAUGCAACGAGUUUCUUUCCUUGGCCGACAGGCCUGGGCAAUCUUUGAACAUCGAUCGUGAUCGGGAUAGAUUCUUGUAAUUUUUGAUCUUAAACGAGGAAUUCCUAGUAAACGCAAGUCAUCGGCUUGCAUUGAUUACGUCCCUGCCCUUUGUACACUCCGCCCGUCGCACCUACCGAUUGAAUGGUCCGGUGAAAUCUCCGGACUGGCGUGAGUCGGAGCAAUCUGACAAACACCGGAAAGUUGAUUAAACCUUACCAUUUAGAGGAAGGUGAAGCCGUAACA
RNAcentral lists this ribosomal RNA (324 nucleotides) under uncultured eukaryote. Its description in RNAcentral is "partial 18S ribosomal RNA". It matches the Rfam family "Eukaryotic small subunit ribosomal RNA", at positions 1470 to 1796 of the family's 1831-position model. The record is from RNAcentral.